AGCAGCCGCGGUAAUUCCAGCUCCAAUAGCGUAUAUUAAAGUUGUUGCAGUUAAAAAGCUCGUAGUUGAAUUUCGAGAUCAAAUUGUUGGUCGUGCCUCGGUACGUACUGGCAUUAUUGAUCUCUCCUUUCUGAAGAACCAUGAUGUCAUUAAUUUGGUGUCUUGGGGAAUCAGGACUGUUACUUUGAAAAAAUUAGAGUGUUUAAAGCAGGCUCACGCUUGAAUACAUUAGCAUGGAAUAAUGAAAUAGGACGUUUGAUUCUAUUUUGUUGGUUUCUAGGAUCGACGUAAUGAUUAAUAGGGAUAGUUGGGGGCAUUAGUAUUCAAUUGUCAGAGGUGAAAUUCUUGGAUUUAUUGAAGACUAGCUACUGCGAAAGCAUUUGCCAAGGAUGUUUUCAUUAAUCAAGAACGAAAGUUAGGGGAUCGAAGACGAUCAGAUACCGUCGUAGU
RNAcentral lists this ribosomal RNA (450 nucleotides) under uncultured Glomeromycotina. RNAcentral describes it as "SSU rRNA". It matches the Rfam family "Eukaryotic small subunit ribosomal RNA", at positions 569 to 1024 of the family's 1831-position model. Lineage: Eukaryota; Fungi; Glomeromycota. The record is from RNAcentral.